Xylariaceae sp. FL0594 is the source of this 97-nucleotide non-coding RNA. The record is from the annotation of a GenBank genome assembly. Lineage: Eukaryota; Fungi; Ascomycota; Sordariomycetes; Xylariales; Xylariaceae.
ACCAUCAUCGUCUAGUGGUUUAGGAUACCAGGUUUUCAAGGCCCAGUUCAUGAGGCAGAAAUCCCUGGGGACCGGAGUUCGAACCUCCGUGAUGGUG